This 453-nucleotide ribosomal RNA is filed under the name uncultured bacterium. RNAcentral's name for it is "bacterial SSU rRNA". It matches the Rfam family "Bacterial small subunit ribosomal RNA", at positions 340 to 786 of the family's 1533-position model. The record is from RNAcentral.
UACGGGAGGCAGCAGUGGGGAAUAUUGCACAAUGGGCGCAAGCCUGAUGCAGCCAUGCCGCGUGUAUGAAGAAGGCCUUCGGGUUGUAAAGUACUUUCAGUCGUGAGGAAGGUGUUAAGGUUAAUAACCUUAGCAAUUGACGUUAGCGACAGAAGAAGCACCGGCUAACUCCGUGCCAGCAGCCGCGGUAAUACGGAGGGUGCGAGCGUUAAUCGGAAUUACUGGGCGUAAAGGGCACGCAGGCGGUUAAUUAAGUUGGAUGUGAAAUCCCCGGGCUUAACCUGGGAAUGGCAUUCAAGACUGGUUAGCUAGAGUCUUGUAGAGGGGGUAGAAUUCCAUGUGUAGCGGUGAAAUGCGUAGAGAUGUGGAGGAAUACCGGUGGCGAAGGCGGCCCCUGGGACAAAGACUGACGCUCAUGUGCGAAAGCGUGGGGAGCAAACAGGGAUUAAUACC